UUAAAAGUGUUUCUUUUUUUUUUUUUGUUAAUUUUUCUAAACUUACCUGCCAAAUUAAAAAGUUUGUGGACAAUACCAAUGAUUGGAAAUCCAAGUGGACCAGGCAUUUUCAAAGCAAAUGCAUAAUACUUCCUUCUGGACCAAAGGAAGUAAAUCCACAAAAAUUUGCAGGUAAACAUCUUUUUAUAACCUGGGUUCAUUGGGUAUUCAUUGUUAUUAUAUGCUAUUAAACUUUGAACUCGUGACAUUGACAAUGAGUAGGUUAGGUACAUACGCAUCAUGAAUAAGGGUUCCAAGGUGAAAGUGAGCCAAAAUUAUGUUGAGAUUUUCUGCUUAGUAAUUAUUCAUGUUGAAUGUUUUUUUUUUUGUACUUACCUUAAAAAUGUUUAAACUUAUUUUUAAAUAUAUGUAUACAAAGUAA
Episyrphus balteatus (marmalade hoverfly) is the source of this 421-nucleotide long non-coding RNA. RefSeq lists it as uncharacterized. NCBI's taxonomy places the organism in Eukaryota, Metazoa, Arthropoda, Insecta, Diptera, Syrphidae. The transcript has 3 exons. The record is from RefSeq and is a predicted model, not a curated record.